UUUAGUCCACCGAUAUCAAGGAACUGGUCAAUUUGGAUAUGUAGCUCUAAAAUUCCUCCUGAUAGGCAUCAACUAAGCUACCUCCUCAAGCACAGAUAAGGCUGCCAAGUUAGAUAAAGGUCUACAAUACAGCAGAUGACCAAAUGUCACAUACAUGGCAUGAUUGAAAAACCUUCAUGAUUUGGACUUGGCCUUGGAUGCCCUUAAUAGAAACCUUCUACAGGGAGAGGAUUGUGUUCCAACGUAAGUUUGACGAUAGCUCCCAAUCAAUGUGUCAUUUGCUUAUUGGCGCCUGGAUUUUUGCUGUGGAGGGUAUCCACUACCCAUUACUGGUGGUUCUUUCCUCCGCAAAUGUUGCUGCUGAUGAGACUGUGCAGCUACACCCCGUGGCAUCAGCAAGCCAGCUGGAUUCAUUCCACCUCCCAUCC
This 428-nucleotide unclassified non-coding RNA is filed under the name Hevea brasiliensis (rubber tree). The record is from RNAcentral. Lineage: Eukaryota; Viridiplantae; Streptophyta; Magnoliopsida; Malpighiales; Euphorbiaceae.